RNAcentral lists this long non-coding RNA (1496 nucleotides) under Lathyrus oleraceus (garden pea). RNAcentral describes it as "Pisum sativum (pea) long non-coding RNA (PSAT_LNC032483)". Lineage: Eukaryota; Viridiplantae; Streptophyta; Magnoliopsida; Fabales; Fabaceae. The record is from RNAcentral.
UGAGUUUGAGAGGAUUGUUCGCAUAUCAACUUGGUAAAUCACAAGAGGUUACUCUUAGUGAUUGUGUAUGUCUUGUACAAGUCAUAAUAGAUAGUAAAAUCUCUUUCGCAUUGAAAGGGGACUGGAGUACUGUCGUAUCCCAAAAUUUGCCCUCAUUUUCGCUUUUUCAUCUGACUAUAACUUGAUAUCCAUCUAACCUCAUUCAUACUCAUUCACGUGCAUUAAUUCAUUAAUGACCAGCAUUUUCUAGCAGGUAUCAUGGAUUCAGAGUUUGUGGUUGAUAAAAUCAGAGUUGGAUUGAAGUUUAUGGCAUUGCACAACCUCUUGAUUCCAAGCAGAAUUUCCAGCUUCAAUCACCUACAAUCAAUUUCAAGUAGGAGAAGAUAACAGUGUAAAAGUAAUUGCAAAAAAAACUCUCAAAACAGAACCUAACAGAAUUUAAGGCCCACCUCAACUUUCAACCGAACCGCAACUACAACAACCAAUCCUCAAUAACCAAACUUCGAACCUUUUAACUAACUUUCAUAACCACUUGUAAUCAACUGUCAUGACAGAAGGAGAACUAACUUCAAAUCUACAUCACAAUACCGCCAACUUGCAUAAAAACCAGAACUGAAUAAGCCAACCAAAAACAACUCCCAUUCCCUAACCUACCAAUUCGUAAAUGAAAACCAUUUUCAAAACUCCAAAAAAAACAAGCAACCAAACAUACCAUUGUCAAUCCAACUAACCCCUAAUAGUUCCAGCAUAUCCCUAAUAUAGUCAACAAUUCAAAUAAUGACAAAGUUGAUUUAAAACCAUUUCGCAACAUGAUGAUCAACGAACAAGAAAAGUCGUUCACAACAUGGCAAGCAUUUUAGUCAAUUCUAUAAUCGCAAUUUAACAUGCUUCACUAACCGUGUAAAUAAGACAAUUCAACAACCGUUUCAUCAAGACAACUUUUAACAUAUUAAAUUUGAAGCCAAUGAUGCACGCUGUAAAUAACAUUCAACUGGUUUUUAGCAGAGAUUUUCUAAUUGAAUUAAAACUAACAAUAACAACUAACUAUAACUAAUCCUAUUAAUAGUUCAACCGAGUUUCUAACUAACUAACCUAACUAUUUUAGCAUAAGAGUAACUGUUCCUUUAACCUCCUAACUAACUCGAAUUAACCCUCUAACAAAUUCAUAACAAUCUAACAGAAUUUUCUAACAACUCCUAACAGAAAUUCAUGCCAACUCAUAACAGCAUAUAACAGAAUUACUGAUCCAGAAUGGGAGGGGAAAGAGGUUCAGAAAUCUAUAAAGGUAUACCUUCACUCCCUCUCCUUGGGGACAUUCCAUAUUCUCGCCACCUUCACUCUCUCAUAUUUUCUUCCAUCUUUUCUUCACCCUCAACCAAGCUCCAAUUCCAUUCUCCAUCACCUUCAAUCGAGUUCUCAACCUCCAACAGAACGCGAACCGAGCUCUCACCACCCUCAACCUUUCGCUAUCGUCCUCAACUCUCCAAUGCUCCUAA